ACACGACUCUCGGCAACGGAUAUCUCGGCUCUCGCAUCGAUGAAGAACGUAGCGAAAUGCGAUACCUGGUGUGAAUUGCAGAAUCCCGCGAACCAUCGAGUCUUUGAACGCAAGUUGCGCCCGAGGCCACCCGGCCGAGGGCACACCUGCCUGGGCGUCACAC
Molecule: ribosomal RNA, 163 nt
Filed under: Bambusa emeiensis
Lineage: Eukaryota; Viridiplantae; Streptophyta; Magnoliopsida; Poales; Poaceae
Description: 5.8S ribosomal RNA
Rfam family: 5.8S ribosomal RNA
About the family: 5.8S ribosomal RNA (5.8S rRNA) is a component of the large subunit of the eukaryotic ribosome. It is transcribed by RNA polymerase I as part of the 45S precursor that also contains 18S and 28S rRNA.
Source: RNAcentral